This 401-nucleotide ribosomal RNA is filed under the name uncultured soil bacterium. RNAcentral describes it as "bacterial SSU rRNA". It matches the Rfam family "Bacterial small subunit ribosomal RNA", at positions 26 to 412 of the family's 1533-position model. The record is from RNAcentral.
AGAGCGAACGUUAGCGGCGCGCCUAACACAUGCAAGCGCACGAGAAGAGGGCAACCUCUGAAAGUGGCGCACGGGUGCGUAACACGUAGAUAACCUGCCCUUCGUUGGGGGAUAACGUUCCGAAAGGAGCGCUAAUACCGCGUACAGCAUUCUGGGGGUUUGCUCCGGGAUGGCAAAGGCUGGGAUUCGCAAGAACCAGUCGACGAAGGAGGGGUCUGCGGCCCAUCAGCUAGUUGGUGAGGUAAUGGCUCACCAAGGCAAAGACGGGUAGCUGGUCUGAGAGGAUGAUCAGCCACACUGGUACUGGAACACGGACCAGACUCCUACGGGAGCAGCAGUGGGGAAUCGUUGGUCAAUGGGACGAAAGCCUAGAACCAGCCGACGCCGCGUGGAGUGAUGAA